This 64-nucleotide transfer RNA is filed under the name uncultured Lawsonibacter sp. It matches the Rfam family "tRNA", at positions 7 to 64 of the family's 71-position model. From Rfam's summary of the family: Transfer RNA (tRNA) molecules are approximately 80 nucleotides in length. Their secondary structure includes four short double-helical elements and three loops (D, anti-codon, and T loops). Lineage: Bacteria; Bacillati; Bacillota; Clostridia; Eubacteriales; Oscillospiraceae. The record is from RNAcentral.
UCGGUAGUUCAGUUGGUUAGAACGCCGGCCUGUCACGCCGGAGGUCGAGGGUUCAAGUCCCUUC